AUUUGUAAGAGGCGCAGCAUAACAUGGCAUAGGCCAUGUCCAGCUCGAGACAAUGUAAAAUGUGAAAACCAUUGCAUCAAUAAGGAACACGCAUUGAUUGGGUCUUGUCAGCCUAAUGAUGAUAGCUUCGAACUUUAUUGCUUCUGUUACUUCGGCUGCUGACAAAAUCAACACUACCUUUCUGUUCAACCAAUGUUAUUCUGUUUGUAAUAAUUUUAAUGUAAUAAGAGAUAUUUAUAAGAUACAUUUGAAUCAACAAAAAUUAACGUAAAUGGUUCAAAAAUUGAUCCAU
This 292-nucleotide long non-coding RNA is filed under the name Medicago truncatula (barrel medic). Its description in RNAcentral is "long non-coding RNA (MTRU_LNC005873)". Lineage: Eukaryota; Viridiplantae; Streptophyta; Magnoliopsida; Fabales; Fabaceae. The record is from RNAcentral.